This is a long non-coding RNA of Leptinotarsa decemlineata (Colorado potato beetle), 184 nucleotides long. The record is from RefSeq and is a predicted model, not a curated record. Lineage: Eukaryota; Metazoa; Arthropoda; Insecta; Coleoptera; Chrysomelidae.
UAUGUUUUUAGAUGAUCCGAGACCUGGGCCAUCAUGGAUGCCAGACGGUGCAGCCUAUAAUGGACUAAGUGUAUCCGUAAUGCCAAAGCCUGAACCAUCAUGGAAUCAAUUUGAAUAUAAUGCGUAUGGUGGGGAAUUCACAGCCAGUACGCCAUUGAGGGAGCCUAAUCUCGCUACAAACGGU